Molecule: ribosomal RNA, 366 nt
Filed under: uncultured deep-sea bacterium
Lineage: Bacteria
Description: bacterial SSU rRNA
Rfam family: Bacterial small subunit ribosomal RNA
Source: RNAcentral
UCUACGGGGACUGUCGGCGAAAAGCCGGAGGAAGGUGGGGAUGACGUCAAGUCCUCAUGGCCUUUAUGCCCCGGGCUACACACGUGCUACAAUGGGCGGUACAAAGGGCUGCCAACUCGCAAGAGUGAGCGAAUCCCAAAAAGCCGUUCUCAGUUCGGAUUGCAGUCUGCAACUCGACUGCAUGAAGUUGGAAUCGCUAGUAAUCGCGGAUCAGCAUGCCGCGGUGAAUACGUUCCCGGGCCUUGUACACACCGCCCGUCACAUCACGGAAGUGGGCUGUACUAGAAGUCGCUGGGCUAACCUCCUUCGGGAGGAGGCAAGCGCCGACGGUAUGGUUCAUAACUGGGGUGAAGUCGUAACAAGGUA